GACGAACGCUGGCGGCGUGCUUAACACAUGCAAGUCGAGCGGAAAGGCCCUUCGGGGUACUCGAGCGGCGAACGGGUGAGUAACACGUGAGUAACCUGCCCCAGACUUUGGGAUAACCCUCGGAAACGGGGGCUAAACCGGGUACGGCACCGGUUCCCCAUGGGUUCUGGUGGAAAGGUUUUUCGGUUGGGGAUGGGCUCGGGGCCUACCGGCUGGUUGGGGGGGUGAUGGCUUACCAAGGCGACGACGGGUAGCCGGCCUGAGAGGGCGACCGGCCACACUGGGACUGAGACACGGCCCAGACUCCUACGGGAGGCAGCAGUGGGGAAUAUUGCACAAUGGGCGGAAGCCUGAUGCAGCGACGCCGCGUGAGGGAUGACGGCCUUCGGGUUGUAAACCUCUUUCAGCAGGGACGAAGCGUAAGUGACGGUACCUGCAGAAGAAGCGCCGGCCAACUACGUG
RNAcentral lists this ribosomal RNA (462 nucleotides) under uncultured bacterium. Its description in RNAcentral is "partial 16S ribosomal RNA". It matches the Rfam family "Bacterial small subunit ribosomal RNA", at positions 28 to 507 of the family's 1533-position model. The record is from RNAcentral.